UACGUAGGGGGCAAGCGUUGUCCGGAUUUAUUGGGCGUAAAGAGCGUGUAGGCGGCCGUACAGGUCAGCUGUGAAAACUCGAGGCUCAACCUCGAGACGUCGGUUGAAACCGUACGGCUAGAGUCCGGAAGAGGAGAGUGGAAUUCCCGGUGUAGCGGUGAAAUGCGCAGAUAUCGGGAAGAACACCCGUGGCGAAGGCGGGUCUCUGGGCCGAUACUGACGCUGAGGAGCGAAAGCGUGGGGAGCGAACAGG
This 253-nucleotide ribosomal RNA is filed under the name uncultured bacterium. RNAcentral's name for it is "partial 16S ribosomal RNA". It matches the Rfam family "Bacterial small subunit ribosomal RNA", at positions 524 to 776 of the family's 1533-position model. The record is from RNAcentral.